UUACACUGUAAGAUUUUCAUCAGUAAUGGGGGACAUUAAAAUUGAUGUUUACCGUCUACCUACGCAUAUGGAUCAGUAUUUAAGGUUUAACUCUCAUCAUCCACUAAGCAAAAACUGGGUGUCAUCAGGAUGGUACAACAUAGAGUGAACACCAUCCCCACAGAUACAGCAGUGAUCCUAUGUGUCAGGAGUAUCAGAACAGUUGAGAUGCCUUUUUUCUAAACACCACGUCUCUUUAGCUUUCAACCCCCCAAAAAAGCACUGCGCCAAAAAUUGGUCUACCCCAAGGAUCAAAUCACCAGAUACAAACAGAGUAAUGUAGUGAACACUGCUAAGUGCCAGAAGAAUUGCCAUGAUUUAUUCAUCGGGGAAACCAAACAAUCUCUAGCAAAGUAGAUGGCACAACACAGAAGAGCUAACUCAUCAGGCCUUGAAACUUUCAAUAAUGUUCUUAAAAACAAAAGCAUUACAAACGAAAAGCAGCACAAACCAGCACAAAUGUUUGCCAUCAAUUUUGUUUGAUUUGAAGAAGGUGGGGGGGCCACCCGCAUCCUGUAGUCAGCUAAAACUGAAGAAGUCAUUUGGAUGACUGACGAAACAUUUCUCCCCCUGAAAGCGUUACGUCCAGAUGAACAGAAUCAACUUUUUGAGAUUUCCUUACCUGGAUGAUUAAGAAUGCAUCAAGAUUUUUAUCACAUUCUUAGCUCAGUGUUAAGCAAUUUGCAAAAUUUUAUCCAUGGUGAGAGAGCUUACUGCAAAAUCAUAAACAUUUGUGUUUGACAUUAAAAAUUUGUAGAGUUCUAAAGUCAUAUUUUUAAUUCUCACAGUUUCGGCCACCUUGUGAGAUAGUGAUCAAACUCUACAUGUGCUACUAAGUAGUAUUGAAUCUAUCCCUGCAAAAACUUCCCUAGGAGGUGAUCUGAUGUGAGUCCAUCUUAAAUGUGGUGAAUCUUGUCAUAAAAUGACUGUGUAGUAUAGACGUGUGAUUGGUAGUGCCUUCUUUAAACCCAGGAUGGAAUAAUUACCAUGUCAUUUCCAAACAUUGGAGUGCUAGAGAUAAAUAUUGUUUUGCAGUCUCGCUCUGUCCC
This is a long non-coding RNA of Oreochromis aureus, 1088 nucleotides long. NCBI's taxonomy places the organism in Eukaryota, Metazoa, Chordata, Actinopteri, Cichliformes, Cichlidae. The record is from Ensembl.